GUCUUCUUGUUUAUAUAAGAAGUCUGACCUGCCCGGUGAUUUAAAUUUAACGGCCGCGGUAUUUUUGACCGUGCAAAGGUAGCAUAAUCAUUAGUCUUUUAAUAGGAGGCUGGUAUGAAGGGUUUGACGAAGAAUUAGCUGUCUCAAUUAAUUUUAUAUUAAAAUUUAACUUUUUAGUCAAAAGGCUGAAAUUUAGUUGGAAGACGAGAAGACCCUAUAGAGUUUUAUAAAUUUUUUGUAGUUUGUUAUAUAAUUUUCAUAUUUUGGAAAAUUUAUUUUGUUGGGGUGACAAGAAUAUAAAUUUAACUUUUUUAUUUAUUAAUCAUUGAUUAAUGUUUAUUAGAUCCAGUCUUACUGAUUGUUAGAACAAGUUACC
RNAcentral lists this ribosomal RNA (376 nucleotides) under Aphylla angustifolia. RNAcentral's name for it is "partial 16S ribosomal RNA". RNAcentral also lists the same sequence under 1 other name. The record is from RNAcentral. Lineage: Eukaryota; Metazoa; Arthropoda; Insecta; Odonata; Gomphidae.